GUCCCCAUCGUCUAGAGGCCCAGGACACUGCCCUUUCACGGCGGUAACAGGGGUUCGAAUCCCCUUGGGGACG
Legionella geestiana is the source of this 73-nucleotide transfer RNA. It matches the Rfam family "tRNA". From Rfam's summary of the family: Transfer RNA (tRNA) molecules are approximately 80 nucleotides in length. The record is from Rfam. NCBI's taxonomy places the organism in Bacteria, Pseudomonadati, Pseudomonadota, Gammaproteobacteria, Legionellales, Legionellaceae.